This 407-nucleotide ribosomal RNA is filed under the name uncultured bacterium. RNAcentral describes it as "bacterial SSU rRNA". It matches the Rfam family "Bacterial small subunit ribosomal RNA", at positions 974 to 1387 of the family's 1533-position model. The record is from RNAcentral.
CCAACCCUUGACAUCCUGAUCGCGGUUACCAGAGAUGGUUUCCUUCAGUUCGGCUGGAUCAGUGACAGGUGCUGCAUGGCUGUCGUCAGCUCGUGUCGUGAGAUGUUCGGUUAAGUCCGGCAACGAGCGCAACCCACACCCUUAGUUACCAGCGGUUCGGCCGGGGACUCUAAGGGAACUGCCCGUGAUAAGCGGGAGGAAGGUGUGGAUGACGUCAAGUCCUCAUGGCCCUUACGGGUUGGGCUACACACGUGCUACAAUGGUAGUGACAAUGGGUUAAUCCCAAAAAGCUAUCUCAGUUCGGAUUGGGGUCUGCAACUCGACCCCAUGAAGUCGGAAUCGCUAGUAAUCGCGUAACAGCAUGACGCGGUGAAUACGUUCCCGGGUCUUGUACACACGCAAUCACU